UACAGAGACCUCAAGCGUUAUCCGGAAUUAUUGGGCGUAAAGCGUUCCGACAGGCGGCUGUAUAAGUCAGAAGUGAAAUCUCCGAGCUCAACUCGGAAUCUGUCUUUUGAAACUAUACAACUAGAGGGGCAAAGAGGAAGCUGGAACAAUCGGUGUAGUAGUGAAAUGCGUUGAUAUCGAUUGGAACACCAAUAGCGUAGGCAAGCUUCUGGGUGCCACCUGACACUGCUAGGACGAAAGCGUGGGUAGCGAAUGGG
RNAcentral lists this ribosomal RNA (257 nucleotides) under uncultured bacterium. RNAcentral describes it as "partial 16S ribosomal RNA". It matches the Rfam family "Bacterial small subunit ribosomal RNA", at positions 524 to 776 of the family's 1533-position model. The record is from RNAcentral.